RNAcentral lists this ribosomal RNA (490 nucleotides) under uncultured bacterium. Its description in RNAcentral is "partial 16S ribosomal RNA". It matches the Rfam family "Bacterial small subunit ribosomal RNA", at positions 29 to 507 of the family's 1533-position model. The record is from RNAcentral.
AGUGAACGCUGGCGGCAGGCCUAAUACAUGCAAGUCGAACGGCAGCACAGUGGAGCUUGCUCCAUGGGUGGCGAGUGGCGGACGUGUGAGGAAUACAUGGGAAUCUGCCCAGUCGUGGGGGAUAACGUAGGGAAACUUACGCUAAUACCGCAUGCGCCCUUCGGGGGAAAGCCGGGGACCUUCGGGCCUGGCGCGAUUGGAUGAGCCCAUGUUCGAUUAGCUAGUUGGCGGGGUAAAGGCCCACCAAGGCGACGAUCGAUAGCUGGUCUGAGAGGAUGAUCAGCCACACUGGGACUGAGACACGGCCAAGACUCCUACGGGAGGUAGAAGUAGGGAAUAUUGGACAAUGGGCGCAAGCCUGAUCCAGCCAUGCCGCGUGAGUGAAGAAGGCCCUCGGGUUGUAAAGCUCUUUUGUCCGGGAAGAAAAGCAUCGGGCUAAUACCUCGGUGUUCUGACGGUACCGGAAGAAUAAGCACCGGCUAACUUCGUG